This is a non-coding RNA of Pelobates cultripes (western spadefoot toad), 7241 nucleotides long. The record is from the annotation of a GenBank genome assembly. NCBI's taxonomy places the organism in Eukaryota, Metazoa, Chordata, Amphibia, Anura, Pelobatidae.
AUAGCAGCUACCACACUGCUUUUUACUAGAAAAAAAAAUGAAGAAUGAAAUAUCAGUAUGAUUGCAUUAGCAAGUAAAAAAGUGACUUUUCUUUUUUGCAAAACUAAGUAUCAAUUUUGAGUCGGACGUUUCUUCUGCUUGGUAAGAUUGAACAUAGCAGAACAAAUACUAUCUGUACUGUGCCAAAUUGGUUUCUUAUUGGAAUGUGUGAUGCUAGUUAUCCAGUCUUAUUACAGUACCAGUGAGAAAUGUUAUAGAGUGGAAAAAACUGUGCCAAAAAAUGAAAAAUUGGUUGUGCUGAAAAUUUGUUUUUAAAACAUAAUGUUUUCUGAAGCUUGGCAGAUCCAAUCAAACAGAGUUCCACAAACAUAAAACUAGAAACCUGUAUUAUUGUCUUAAAUUUUGUACAUUGAGUACUACGGGUCGGUGUGUACUAAACACCAAGUGCAAACGUGUCAUUAACUGAAAGCAGUGGACGUUGAGCUAUGCUAUUAUGUACUCUGUUUUCACAUCUGUAUUUUCCGAGACCAUCUUUUAUUUACAGCAUCCACAUUCUAUAGGAAUAGUAAAAAGCUAAAAAAAAAAAAAACAAACAUUACAUGUACUAUACAUCUACAACAAAAUCAUAAAAAUAUUAGACUUGGAGAUUUGUGUCGUUACAAACUGCAAUUUGCCUGACUUUUGGCCGAUCAGUUAUAGCCGAAUCAUGAACCAAAAGAAAUGUACAAUGGCCAAGCAUGUUUGUUUUGUGAUUCCUAAUCCCUCCUGUUCACCAGAAAAAGAGAUGAUUAAUGGUAGAAAAGAUGAUUGAAAGCUAGGACACGGUCACUAAAUGUUGAUUUUAUUCACAGAACAAGAAAUAAAAAAACAAUAGAGAGAAAAAAGGUGAAGCAGUAAAAAAAAAUAAAAAAUAUUUAUAUGUUAUUUAAUUAAAAAAUAUAUAUGUUUUUUCUGCUCCUUCUCUUUUUACCUUGGUAACAACCAGUUUUCAAAAUGUCGAGCUGUCAUAAAGUGCAGGAUUAUGAAGCUGGCAAUGCACAGUUUUUGUUCCUACAGUUUUUAUUAUGCGAUUGUACAUUUUUGGAAUUUAGGAAAAAUCUUGUGAAAUGUCCAUCUGUCAUUGUCAGUGAACAUCUUGGAUUCACUUGUUCACAUCGCUGAUGACAGUGAUGUGUGACAUAUGCUGUUGUUAAUUCUUGAUGCAUUAAAUACUAAGCAUUUUUAUUACUGACCUGUCAUUUGGACACUGAAUAUUUGUCUGUUUAGUUUACUCAUGUUUCUUUAGAACUCAUGUUAAAGUACUUAUUUUUGGGACAUUUUAUCGUUGCUAAUGCUAACUAGCAAUCAAACACAUAUGAGUCCCCUUUAAAGAUUACUUUGUUUUUGUGAUUUUGUUAUUUGAAAUGUAAGCUUCCUUUUCAAGUGGUGUUUUGUUUGUUUCGUGCUAUCUCUCAAUGUCAUUGAGAUAAUCGGUCCUUAGAGAUUGUGCCCUCAAAUGGAAUAUCCUAAUAGUUGCAUCAUUAGGGAACUUAAGAGAAAAACAUUCUAGGUGCUUUUGAGGACUAUAUUGUAAAGGUGAAAUGUAUUGUCAUAGUCCAUAAAAAGAGUCAUUUAAAAGUACAUUUAGUUGUUUUUAAACAGGUGUAAAAGUAAUUUCUUGUUCUUUAUACUUUCUGAAAACAUUUUGCUACAGAUUAGCAUAGUCUGUUUUACAAUGUAAUUUAUAAGUGCCAUCAGGGUUGCCUUUCUUUUAUAGAUGCUUAAAGGAGCACUCUGAACCACAAUAGCACUUCAGCUUGCUGUAGAGCUUUAUGUAUGAAAAGUGUGUCCCCUUCUUUUCAUUUUACAAAAAGUGCAGAUUUCAAUAGAAAUUGGUACUUUUAUAAAAAUAACCUUGUUACACUCCCUGGUUGUCAAUCAGACAAAUGGUCCUGUUACUUCCUGGUAGUCUAGCUCAGUGGAGCUAACCUCAAGAGGCAGCAUAUGGCCCAAGUUCCUUGCAAUGACUUCUCAUUAAGAUGCAUUAGGAAUUCCGUGACUCAACAGUCACAAAAAAGUCUGGACUGGGUUGGAAGUGGAAGGCUUGAAGAGGCUGCAGACAAGAGAUCUGUAGCUUUUGCAAUCUGUUUUUAGAUAUAACCCCAAUUAAAAAAAAAAAGCAUAAUAAAAUGUAGUCAUAUUUUUAUUGGGUUAUAUAUACUAAACACUGAUUUUUAUUUAUUUUCAAAUUUGGACAGUGGCCCUUUAAUUUACUCAAGUAUUACGAAAAUGGGGACAUGCAUCAUAACAAUUCAAGUUAUAACAAUUAAAUUUGCACUCCUUUUAAUUCCUUUAUUAUCAAUAUAAUAGUUUAGUUUUGCUAAGGUCUGCAUUACUCUAAUGGAUUCUAAUAUUCUGAUCAGUAACAGCCUUGUACAGAGUAAAUGUAUAAGGUUAUCUCACCUGUAUAUACAUCUGAAUGUUGGCUCCAAGCGGUUUGCACAAGUUGAAUGGGUAUGAGUUGGACCAUGCACUCAAUACUCCUGGUUACAAGAGGAUCCAAUAUGUACAUAUUUACAUACUAAUAUAAGCUGACAAGAAACUAAAAUUAAUUACGUUCUGAUUUUUACUUGUUUGCAUGACUGCUGUUGAUCCAACAGAAGGUGGAAAUCUCAAACGGAAGCAAUUUCUAAUGUUGCCACAAUAUGAUAAAAAUUGUUCUUGACUGCAAAGUAACAGUUAUUUUUUUCCUUUGAUGAAAAAAUCUGUUACACCCAUGUUAACAAUUAUAUCCAUGAAUUCCAAAACAUUCAGAUGUUUAAAAAUGAGUACAGUAUCUAACAAAAAAAAAACUCCAUACGCAGAGAAUUCCAUAUAUUUGUUAUUUUUGCUUUAACCUCUUAAGGACCAAACUUCUGGAAUAAAAGGGAAUCAUGACAUGUCACACAUGUCAUGUGUCCUUAAGGGAUUAAAGAACUCUGCUGUAGGUGAAAUCUUGACUUUUAAAUUCUAAAUUGGUGAUAUUGUGUCCUUUGUACAGUUCUAUUAAUGAACAGAAUACCAGAAAGCUAUUUGUAUUGGUUCUGUAUUUGUUUGUAUAAUGUUAUGGUGUCCACUCAAAUUCACAGUUUUUUUUAGUAACAAGUAAAUCGUCUUUUUCCCAACUAAAGAAUGUAGCCUGCCUCUUUCUAUUUCUAUAAUAUGCUUCUUUAAAACAGGUGCAAAAAAAUGCACCAUGUAUUCCAGGUGGGGUCUUGUCACUGAUUUAUACAGAAGCAAAUAUUUUUAUAUUUUUGUCCCGUGAAUCAUUACCCGCUAUAUGCAUGACAAUACCUUACUGGCCUUUGGAAAUGAUGUCUGACUUAGAACUAGUCUGUUGUCUAUAACUAUGCCCAAGUCUUUCUCAGUUCUUGUUUUCCCUAACUCAUUUCUAUUUAGGGUAAAGAUUGCUUGUACAUUAUUCACUCCAAAAUACAUAGUUUUGCAUUUUUGUCCAGUUCAAUAAUUUGUCAAAAUUCAUGUGUAGUAAUAUCCUGCUCACACGUUAGUACCUUACUUAGUUUUGUGUCACCUGCAAACACUGACACAUACCUUGUAUGCCCAUUGUGAGAUCAUUAAAAAAACAGGUUAAAGAGAACUGAAUCCAUAACAGAGACUUGUUCAAGAAGAAUACUCCAACUCCUCUAAAUUUGUGCAUCAAAUAAAUUUUUUAGCCCCUCCUUCCCCCCCGCCCCAUGUCCCAAUGCAAGCAUAGUAAAACAGUUGCAACAUUCAACAAAUAAUUUAGGGAUGUUCGGUGGGCUAUUUUUAUUUAAUUGAUAUAUUAUUACUAUCAAUUAUAAUUAAAAGCUGAUUGAAAUGUUUUUCUUUGAGAUUGCUAUUUAAGCAAAAAAAAAUUAUUAUAGUCAGUACCAAAUUAGACCAACAUGGAUUGAAUGGCAUCUUUCCAAAAAUAAUUUUACAGUUACAUAACAAUGCAUUUUUUGCUUGAAAAGUACGUCAUUAGCACACUGUAGGUGAAGACAUGAAGUUACAACAAGACUACAUUGACAAAAGAGUUUGACAAAGCAAAAGAUAUAAAAAUAAAACAUAUAGUUGUAACAAGCCCAUACUAUCUAUUGUAUGGUGUUGCAGAAUAUGUUUAAUAAGUACAUUAGUAAUAAUAAUAUAGAAAAAUAAAAGUGACCUUUUGCACAUAUUUUAAUGCUAAUACCAUGACUUUGUAAGAAGAAUUAUCUGAUCAACUUACAUUAUAAUUCUAAGGCAGAUACAUGUUUUGACAUUUAAACUUUAGACUUUUUUUUAUUUGUUAGUUAACGUGAAACACUACAUUCAUUCUGUUUAUCAUUCUUACUUAAGAUUUACAAAUUACAAAUGAGUAAUUCAAGUAAAAUAUACAGUAGUCAUGGAUAGAAAGAGUGUAAAGUCCUACAUUCAAAGCAGAUAUGUGCGUUGAAUGUUAUCACAUUUGAAAAAAAAGUGGUAAAAAAUCUUAUUAUUGCUGCCUAUGCAUUUUUGGGAGUUGAUUUAAUACAAAUACAUAGUUUACAGAACAAUAACUGCAUAGGCACUGUUUGGCUGUAUACGAUCUAAUAAAAAACAAAACAACACAUUCUUAUUGUACCACUGUUAAACAGUCUAGUAAAUCUGUUCAUCAUUUUAAGUGUUUCAAUACACAAAAGCAUUUUAUCCAAAAUUGAAGUACUGUACGUUACAAACGUAGGCAGCACAACUAAAUUGUGUAUUAUGUAUUAUUUAGUAAACCUUACUGUGUUUGCUAAUUGUGAUAAUAGAAUCCUUACACUUUAAAGAUGGUGUAACUGUAUUUGUAUAAAUUAGAUGUAAAUCCUGGAGAGAUCAAUUAAUUUGCAUAUUGGAUUAAAAGGAAUUUGAUUUGGAAGAAAGUAUAGUUUAAAUAUUCUUUUUAAGCAUAGGUUAGCUGUACAAACGUGAUUUAUCCUGACUAAUGUGUUUUCAUCAGUAUUGUCAGGAAUGAUAAGAAACAACAUAUGAUUUAAAGGUUCUUUUAAAUUGGAUAAAUUAAAAGAACACUGCAGGCACCAUAACCACUACAGCUCACUGUAGUGACUAUGGUGCCAGAAGUGCCCUGGCACUCCACAAUUGUAAAGAGUCAAACUGUUUUUGAAUGGUUUGACUUCUUAUAUUUGCUCUAGGCUGAUCCUUUCAGCCACUAACAUGGCCGGAGAAACACAUUUUCCCUAGUUGGAACUUCAGUUAGCUCUCCUGAGCUAAGUCCUGCUAAGUCCUGCAAUACAGUCAACUCUCUCAGUCAAUGAACUAAGAUCUGCACUGGCUCAGAAGUGCUAAUGGAAGUUUCUGGUGAUAAAUUUACAUUUCUGCAGCAAUGGUGGUGGAGUUGGAAGGGUGUCCCGCGGACCACAAGUAACAAGUUAAACUGUUGAAAACAGUUUGACUCCUUAUAAAGGAAGGGAGCGGGAGGCAGGGCACUCAUGGCACCAUAUCCACUAGACUGAGCGCUAACCCCUAUGGUGCCUGAAGUGUUCCUUUAAUAUUCUAAUAAUAAAUAUCGGAUUUGUUUGAAUAUAAAUCCCAGUGGACGAAGUGUAAAACAAAAAUUAUGGUGGCUCAGGUUGAAGAUGUGCUACAGUGAUGAAUUACCAGUGGUCUAUAAUAGUUCUCUUUACGGCAUAUUGCAAAAGUAUCUGCUAUGUUUACACCUGCUAUUUUCGUCUCUUAUUCAAUUGUGCAUUUUUUUUUUUUUUUUUUUUUUCAACUGCAAAAUAUUAGUUUACUGGAUAUUAUUAGUUCAGUUCACACGUGCUUUGGGAAUUUAAGUAGUCUAAUAUGUGACUAAAGAAAUACUGAACACCGUUUCAAAUGAUUAUCAUUCAUUUGCAAUAGAAGGAAAAUGCCACCGUCACAAUUGCUACAAGCAUAUGUCUAGUUAAUGUCUUUCAUUUUCCUAUAGGCUAUUCUUAGAAUCCUGUUAACAAAAUUAAGAAGCAUCAUUAAAAAUAGUUAUUUUGUUUAAUUUCCAGUGUGUAUUGCUCUCUUCUCACCAGUGAUUACUCACAGCUAAAACCAAUCAGAACACUGUGUGGGCUCCUGUGUUACAUAUUUUAUGAUUUGGUGCAAUGCAGCACGAGGUCACUCGUAAUAUAAGAUAUAGCUUGUGGCUGCUGUAAAUGAGUCUUCUGAUUGGAUAGUGUUGCUUGCUUGGUUAUAAUCAUUACUCCUUUGUUAAACCAUGAACAUAUUAAGCACAUGCUGUCUACCUUACGUGACAAAGAGACACACUCUAGAGAGAGAGAGCAGUCCUUCGACUGUAACCAUGGUAACAAAAUGAUUCUCUUUCUCGCUUGCUGACGCUGUACUUCUCCAAUGCUUUAUAAAUAUUUAAUGUAAAAAAAUUGUCUUUGCUGCCAUCCUUCAGACAUGGAAAAGGAAAGAAAGUAUGUCACUGAUACUUUUGUCUGGAGAAUUAUAUUUUAUCUAUAUAUUCACUGCUAAACAGAAUCUGCAAACAGAUUUAGAGCAUACCCUUGUAAUUUGGUAUUUGAAAAUAUGUUUUUGACAUAAUGGGGGUUAUUUAUAAAGAGCAACUGAGGGUUUAUAAUAUAAAAUUGGAACAGUCACCAUGGAUACCAAAAGAAUAUUCCUGGUUAUUGCUUUAUGUUUAGAAUACUUGUCAAUGAUUGCUCUGUAUAUUGUGAAAUAGAACAUAAAGUUCAGACUGUAAAAUUAAUAGGAUUAAUUGCUAUUCUGCCAAAUGGCGCUUCAAUUGAAAUGGAAUUUCAAAAUAACCUGAUUAAAGCAUUGCAGGCAUUUUUGUAAGAGUGGUUUGUUUAUUUAAUAAAUUGGGAGUGGUGCAGGACUGACAAGGAAAAUGCAAUUUUUAGACCACAAUGUCCAAUUUGGAAAACAAUUGAAUAUAAACUUUUAGUGUGGUCUAAAAUUCUUUGCAAUUCCUCCAAGUCCAUUCUACACAAUUCUCGGUUUAUUACUUACACCCAAAAAAAAUUAUUCUGUGCUUUUCUCACCAAGUGUAGUAGUAGCUAUAUAUCUGGCAUCUGUUUAAUACUUGUGGAUUGAACCAUCCAAAAAUAAAACAAUAUUUUUACAAACUGCCAAUGCUGUGUUUAAAUACAACAGAAAAAAAAAUGUUAGGGUAAAUAUUUUAUUUAUUUGUAUUUAACUUAUUUUACCAGUAAUAAAUCUAUGAACAUUCUGUCAAUGUGUCUUGAUGUGUGUCUGAUAAAAUAAACUGUGGUUCAAAUGCA